Molecule: long non-coding RNA, 508 nt
Organism: Cyprinus carpio (common carp)
Lineage: Eukaryota; Metazoa; Chordata; Actinopteri; Cypriniformes; Cyprinidae
Exons: 3
Source: RefSeq, a predicted model, not a curated record
GGCUACAUGAGUGUCCCACUCAUUUCCAAGAAGCACCUCUUUUAAAUAGCAAGUUUCAAAGAACCGGUUAAAUAUUGUGAUAAUUUGCGUCUUGACGCUUUUACGUAAUCGCGCGGUUCAUAUUUUUGCGUGGCAUGCUAAAACCAAACAGGAUAGAUCCUGUCUGUCACAGCCGCUGCAGAGUGUGAACUGAAGCGAAACUGCUGGGUUAGAGAUGUUAGACAGAGAAUAUCGCUUGCUGUCCAGGAUCUGGACUCUACUGUCCGCCUGUGAGUGACCCUUGCGACUCUUCAGAUGCAUCAGUAUGCUGGAGAAUCCUUCUCCUGCGUAGAGCUGUCCACACGUGACAAAACAUAGCGGAAAAAAGAAGAGAUAGAGAAAAGAUGCAAACUACACACAUGCAAUAACAGGGCAGUGGAGCAAGAUAAUAAUAAUAAUAAUAAUAAAAAAAAACCCAAUUAAUUAUAUAAUUAAUUAUAUAACUGAACAAUACAAAUAAUAAUUUAUA